RNAcentral lists this small nucleolar RNA (122 nucleotides) under Echinops telfairi (small Madagascar hedgehog). RNAcentral describes it as "Small nucleolar RNA SNORA61 (ENSETEG00000024855.1)". The record is from RNAcentral. Lineage: Eukaryota; Metazoa; Chordata; Mammalia; Afrosoricida; Tenrecidae.
ACCCUCCAGAUUCCUUACCCCUCUGAUCUAAAUAUUGGUCUGAGAGGCUAAAAAAAGGAGGAAAAGUAAAACUGAAAUGGAAUUGGAGUCUUUAAUGACAUACAAGUUCAUUUCAAACAUUU